RNAcentral lists this ribosomal RNA (453 nucleotides) under uncultured bacterium. RNAcentral's name for it is "bacterial SSU rRNA". It matches the Rfam family "Bacterial small subunit ribosomal RNA", at positions 8 to 507 of the family's 1533-position model. The record is from RNAcentral.
AGAGUUUGAUCCUGGCUCAGAACGAACGCUGGCGGCAUGCCUAACACAUGCAAGUCGAACGAAGCCUUCGGGCUUAGUGGCGCACGGGUGCGUAACGCGUGGGAAUCUGCCCUUGGGUUCGGAAUAACAGUUAGAAAUGACUGCUAAUACCGAAUGAUGUCUUCGGACCAAAGAUUUAUCGCCCAAGGAUGAGCCCGCGUCGGAUUAGCUAGUUGGUGAGGUAAAGGCUCACCAAGGCGACGAUCCGUAGCUGGUCUGAGAGGAUGAUCAGCCACACUGGGACUGAGACACGGCCCAGACUCCUACGGGAGGCAGCAGUGGAGAAUAUUGGACAAUGGGCGAAAGCCUGAUCCAGCAAUGCCGCGUGAGUGAUGAAGGCCUUAGGGUUGUAAAGCUCUUUUACCCGGGAUGAUAAUGACAGUACCGGGAGAAUAAGCCCCGGCUAACUCCGUG